GAUGAACGCUGGCGGCGUGCCUAAUACAUGCAAGUCGAGCGAACGGACGAGAAGCUUGCUUCUCUGAUGUUAGCGGCGGACGGGUGAGUAACACGUGGAUAACCUACCUAUAAGACUGGGAUAACUUCGGGAAACCGGAGCUAAUACCGGAUAAUAUUUUGAACCGCAUGGUUCAAAAGUGAAAGACGGUCUUGCUGUCACUUAUAGAUGGAUCCGCGCUGCAUUAGCUAGUUGGUAAGGUAACGGCUUAACAAGGCAACGAUGCAUAGCCGACCUGAGAGGGUGAUCGGCCACACUGGAACUGAGACACGGUCCAGACUCCUACGGGAGGCAGCAGUAGGGAAUCUUCCGCAAUGGGCGAAAGCCUGACGGAGCAACGCCGCGUGAGUGAUGAAGGUCUUCGGAUUGUAAAACUCUGUUAUUAGGGAAGAACAUAUGUGUAAGUAACUGUGCACAUCUUGACGGUACCUAAUCAGAAAGCCACGGCUAACUACGUG
This 497-nucleotide ribosomal RNA is filed under the name uncultured bacterium. Its description in RNAcentral is "partial 16S ribosomal RNA". It matches the Rfam family "Bacterial small subunit ribosomal RNA", at positions 28 to 507 of the family's 1533-position model. The record is from RNAcentral.